Molecule: long non-coding RNA, 170 nt
Organism: Thalassophryne amazonica
Lineage: Eukaryota; Metazoa; Chordata; Actinopteri; Batrachoidiformes; Batrachoididae
Exons: 2
Source: RefSeq, a predicted model, not a curated record
AAAAAAAUUCCUUAUACAGCGUGACAGUUUUGGAACAUUUGGGAGACUUGUCAUAACCUUAAUACUGCUUAUAUAUUGUUCAAAUUCAGCCAGAAGUCUGUAAAUUCCUUUUCAAUACUCUACAAUUAUGAAUAUGGAAUUCAACAAACAAUAUUAAAAAGUUGACAAUG